This 442-nucleotide ribosomal RNA is filed under the name uncultured bacterium. RNAcentral describes it as "partial 16S ribosomal RNA". It matches the Rfam family "Bacterial small subunit ribosomal RNA", at positions 338 to 795 of the family's 1533-position model. The record is from RNAcentral.
CCUACGGGAGGCAGCAGUGGGGAAUAUUGGGCAAUGGGCGCAAGCCUGACCCAGCAACGCCGCGUGAAGGAAGAAGGCUUUCGGGUUGUAAACUUCUUUUCUCAGGGACGAAGAAAGUGACGGUACCUGAGGAAUAAGCCACGGCUAACUAGGUGCCAGCAGCCGCGGUAAUACGUAGGUGGCAAGCGUUAUCCGGAUUUACUGGGUGUAAAGGGCGUGUAGGCGGGAAAGCAAGUCAGAUGUGAAAACCAGGGGCUCAACCUGUGGCCUGCUUUUGAAACUGUUUUUCUUGAGUACUGGGGAGGCAGAGGGAAGUCCUGGUGUAGCGGUGAAAUGGGUAGAUAUUAGGAGGAACACCAGUGGCGAGGGAGGUCUGCUGGACAGAAACUGACGCUGAGGAGCGAAAGCGUGGGAGCAAACAGGAUUAGAUACCCCAGUAGUC